AGAACGAACGCUGGCGGCAGGCUUAACACAUGCAAGUCGAGCGCCCAGCAAUGGGAGCGGCGGACGGGUGCGUAACACGUGGGAACAUGCCUUUCGGUACGGAACAACUGCGGGAAACUGCAGCUAAUGCCGUAUACGCCCUUACGGGGAAAGAUUUAUCGCCGAAAGAUUGGCCCGCGUCUGAUUAGCUAGUUGGUGAGGUAACGGCUCACCAAGGCUUCGAUCAGUAGCUGGUUUGAGAGAACGACCAGCCACACUGGGACUGAGACACGGCCCAGACUCCUACGGGAGGCAGCAGUGGGGAAUCUUGGACAAUGGGCGAAAGCCUGAUCCAGCCAUGCCGCGUGAGUGAUGAAGGCCUUGGGUUGUAAAACUCUUUUACCUGGGAAGAUAAUGACUGUACCAGGAGAAUAAGCCCCGGCUAACUUCGUGCCAGCAGCCGC
RNAcentral lists this ribosomal RNA (443 nucleotides) under uncultured bacterium. Its description in RNAcentral is "SSU rRNA". It matches the Rfam family "Bacterial small subunit ribosomal RNA", at positions 26 to 518 of the family's 1533-position model. The record is from RNAcentral.